GGUAGAGCACUUGACUGUUAAUCAAGCUGUCGUCAGUUCGAGUCUGACAACCGGAG
The sequence is a transfer RNA, 56 nucleotides long. It matches the Rfam family "tRNA", at positions 17 to 71 of the family's 71-position model. From Rfam's summary of the family: Transfer RNA (tRNA) molecules are approximately 80 nucleotides in length. Their secondary structure includes four short double-helical elements and three loops (D, anti-codon, and T loops). The record is from Rfam.